UGGUAUUGAUUGGUGCUUGCAUCAUGAUUUACAUUUGAGUGAGUGGCGAACUGGUGAGUAACACGUGGGAAACCUGCCCAGAAGCGGGGGAUAACACCUGGAAACAGAUGCUAAUACCGCAUAACAACUUGGACCGCAUGGUCCGAGUUUGAAAGAUGGCUUCGGCUAUCACUUUUGGAUGGUCCCGCGGCGUAUUAGCUAGAUGGUGGGGUAACGGCUCACCAUGGCAAUGAUACGUAGCCGACCUGAGAGGGUAAUCGGCCACAUUGGGACUGAGACACGGCCCAAACUCCUACGGGAGGCAGCAGUAGGGAAUCUUCCACAAUGGACGAAAGUCUGAUGGAGCAACGCCGCGUGAGUGAAGAAGGGUUUCGGCUCGUAAAACUCUGUUGUUAAAGAAGAACAUAUCUGAGAGUAACUGUUCAGGUAUUGACGGUAUUUAACCAGAAAGCCACGGCUAACUACGUGCCAGCAGCCGCGGUAAUACGUAGGUGGCAAGCGUUGUCCGGAUUUAUUGGGCGUAAAGCGAGCGCAGGCGGUUUUUUAAGUCUGAUGUGAAAGCCUUCGGCUCAACCGAAGAAGUGCAUCGGAAACUGGGAAACUUGAGUGCAGAAGAGGACAGUGGAACUCCAUGUGUAGCGGUGAAAUGCGUAGAUAUAUGGAAGAACACCAGUGGCGAAGGCGGCUGUCUGGUCUGUAACUGACGCUGAGGCUCGAAA
This 719-nucleotide ribosomal RNA is filed under the name Lactiplantibacillus plantarum. RNAcentral's name for it is "bacterial SSU rRNA". It matches the Rfam family "Bacterial small subunit ribosomal RNA", at positions 67 to 758 of the family's 1533-position model. The record is from RNAcentral. Lineage: Bacteria; Bacillati; Bacillota; Bacilli; Lactobacillales; Lactobacillaceae.